RNAcentral lists this ribosomal RNA (783 nucleotides) under bacterium LGM11. RNAcentral describes it as "bacterial SSU rRNA". It matches the Rfam family "Bacterial small subunit ribosomal RNA", at positions 56 to 834 of the family's 1533-position model. The record is from RNAcentral.
UGCAAGUCGAGCGGUAGAGAGAAGCUUGCUUCUCUUGAGAGCGGCGGACGGGUGAGUAAUGCCUAGGAAUCUGCCUGGUAGUGGGGGAUAACGUUCGGAAACGGACGCUAAUACCGCAUACGUCCUACGGGAGAAAGCAGGGGACCUUCGGGCCUUGCGCUAUCAGAUGAGCCUAGGUCGGAUUAGCUAGUUGGUGAGGUAAUGGCUCACCAAGGCGACGAUCCGUAACUGGUCUGAGAGGAUGAUCAGUCACACUGGAACUGAGACACGGUCCAGACUCCUACGGGAGGCAGCAGUGGGGAAUAUUGGACAAUGGGCGAAAGCCUGAUCCAGCCAUGCCGCGUGUGUGAAGAAGGUCUUCGGAUUGUAAAGCACUUUAAGUUGGGAGGAAGGGUUGUAGAUUAAUACUCUGCAAUUUUGACGUUACCGACAGAAUAAGCACCGGCUAACUCUGUGCCAGCAGCCGCGGUAAUACAGAGGGUGCAAGCGUUAAUCGGAAUUACUGGGCGUAAAGCGCGCGUAGGUGGUUUGUUAAGUUGGAUGUGAAAUCCCCGGGCUCAACCUGGGAACUGCAUUCAAAACUGACUGACUAGAGUAUGGUAGAGGGUGGUGGAAUUUCCUGUGUAGCGGUGAAAUGCGUAGAUAUAGGAAGGAACACCAGUGGCGAAGGCGACCACCUGGACUAAUACUGACACUGAGGUGCGAAAGCGUGGGGAGCAAACAGGAUUAGAUACCCUGGUAGUCCACGCCGUAAACGAUGUCAACUAGCCGUUGGAAGCCUUG